Molecule: long non-coding RNA, 1653 nt
Filed under: Equus caballus (horse)
Lineage: Eukaryota; Metazoa; Chordata; Mammalia; Perissodactyla; Equidae
Description: lncRNA (ENSECAG00000047136.1)
Source: RNAcentral
CUGGUCCCCAAGGCCUCCCACACUCGUCACUGCUGGUCUGGGAAGAGGACACCAGUUUGCGCUUCACCACACGGUCAGCCCUCGGAGGCAGCCAGUCUCCGAGAGGCCGGGCUUUGGUCCUACCCCAGGCGGUCUCGCCCCCAGGAGACCCUCGGCAGUUUCUGGAGAUGUUUCUGGUGGUCACACUCGGGGUGCAUGCGUGUGUGUAUAUUACAUUCUACAGUCAUGUACGGCAUAUACGCCUGACUGCAUAUACAGUGACGGUCCCAUGAGAUUAAUACCACACAGCCCAGAUGUGUAGCAGGCUAUACCAUCCAGGUUUGGGUAAGUACCCUCUAUGGUGUUCACACAAUGACAAAAUCACCUAACACCUUUCUCAGAAUGUAUCCUGUCAUUAAGCACCAUGUGACUGUAUUGAUGUAUCCUAGUGCCACACAAUGGCUGUGUGCCCUCAGGCAAGUUACUUCACCUCUCUGGGCCUGGGUCUCCUCAUCUUCAAAUCAGAGAUCAUAAAGAGGAAGAACCAGGAUGUUAAGUCCUAGCCCUGCUCCCUCCUGGCUCCCGGACCCCAUGUGAGAAAUGUGAUAUUUUCGAGCAUAUGGGGAAGCCAUUCCGGUUUGAACCUGCUUUGGCCUGAAUUUUAUUUGAACCGGAGCAGCCUGACUUACGGCCUGUCAGACAGACAUGGUACAUCUGCUCUAAUCAUUACCCUAAAGCAAAGAAUGUGCUCUUUGAAGAUUAAAAAAACUGUCCUGCCUCCCUUCCUUUGACACCAGCGCUCUUUAAAGAUAAGACUGGGUGCCUCCCUCCCACAGCGCCAAGGCCGCCUGGACUCCCGCCCGCGCCGAUCUGUAACCAAACACCGCUCUGCUCCCUUGAGCCCAUGUCCCCGCCGCCGUGCUCGCUGUGCGUCUCUCUGCUGGGAAAUGGCGAACAACUGUGCCGAAAACCAGUGUUCCCUGGAGCGCUUUGCACUCCCAGCUCAAAUAAAACUCUCUAGGUAGAAUGAUCAUUGGUUAUUGGCAUUGACAGACCUGAAAGAACGAGUGGUUUCACUGCUCUGUGCCGUAGUUGCCCCAUCUGGAACAAAGACAUGUUACUGUACCAGCCUAGGAGCUGUUGUGAGGAUCGAAGGAGAGAUCCUUACAAAGCGCUCCACACGUUAGCUAUUAUUAUGCUUGGUGCUGUUGUUGGCGAGCUAGACUCAGAGGAGCCGGUGGGGAUGAGGCGGGCGCACACCAGCACAACACGGAGUGAGAAGCACAGCUCAGCGCGUUCAGAAAACAGAGGGGCCCCAGCAAGGCCAGGUAUUUUCAUCCUCCUGACCCUCUGCCCAGGCUCUCAAGGGACAACUGGAGUCGCAGGUGUUUCAUGUGGUUCUCACUAAACACAAGGAACAACCAAUACAUUGUACGGGCUUGCACUUCAGUCAGGAUCACCUGUUGAUCUCCCUAGUGCGUAUUUCUUUUGAGAUAUCCAGCUUUUUUUGUUUAGAAUUUCUAUGUUAAGUAGUUAUUUAUUGUCAUAGCGAUUAUAUGCACGUUUCCAGAAUGUUUUUUGCUUUUUAAAAGAAACCUUUUUAAAAAAAUGAGUGUGGGGCCGGCCCGUGGCCAAGUGGUUGAGUUCACACUCAGCUUCGGCGGCCCAGGGUUU